AUGUAGGUAUCUACCCUUUGGCCUGGAAUAACACGAGGAAACUUGUGCUAAUACCGGAUAAGUCUUUACGGAGAAAGCUUUAUGCACCAUUGGAUGAGCCUGCACUUGAUUAGUUUGUUGGUGGGGUAAUGGCCUACCAAGACUGUGAUCAAUAGCUGAUUUGAGAGGAUGAUCAGCCACAUUGGGACUGAGACAGGCCCAAACUCCUACGGGAGGCAGCAGUGGGGAAUCUUGCACAAUGGAGGAAACUCUGAUGCAGCGAUGCCGCGUGAGUGAAGAAGGCCUUUGGGUUGUAAAGCUCUUUCGUCGGGGAAGAAAAUGACUGUACCCGAAUAAGA
This 338-nucleotide ribosomal RNA is filed under the name uncultured Pseudomonadota bacterium. RNAcentral describes it as "bacterial SSU rRNA". It matches the Rfam family "Bacterial small subunit ribosomal RNA", at positions 115 to 488 of the family's 1533-position model. The record is from RNAcentral. Lineage: Bacteria; Pseudomonadati; Pseudomonadota.